UACGUAGGGCGCAAGCGUUUAUCCGGAAUUAUUGGGCGUAAAGAGCUCGUAGGCGGUUUGUCGCGUCUGCCGUGAAAGUCCGGGGCUCAACUCCGGAUCUGCGGUGGGUACGGGCAGACUAGAGUGAUGUAGGGGGAGACUGGAAUUCCUGGUGUAGCGGUGAAAUGCGCAGAUAUCAGGAGGAACACCGGUGGCGAAGGCGGGUCUCUGGGCCGAUAUUGACGCUGGAGGAGCGAAAGCGUGGGGAGCAAACAGG
RNAcentral lists this ribosomal RNA (256 nucleotides) under uncultured bacterium. RNAcentral describes it as "partial 16S ribosomal RNA". It matches the Rfam family "Bacterial small subunit ribosomal RNA", at positions 524 to 776 of the family's 1533-position model. The record is from RNAcentral.